RNAcentral lists this ribosomal RNA (253 nucleotides) under Hyphomicrobiales bacterium. RNAcentral's name for it is "partial 16S ribosomal RNA". It matches the Rfam family "Bacterial small subunit ribosomal RNA", at positions 524 to 776 of the family's 1533-position model. The record is from RNAcentral. RNAcentral also lists the same sequence under 1 other name. Lineage: Bacteria; Pseudomonadati; Pseudomonadota; Alphaproteobacteria; Hyphomicrobiales.
UACGAAGGGGGCUAGCGUUGUUCGGAAUUACUGGGCGUAAAGCGAACGUAGGCGGUGUUCCAUGUCAGAGGUGAAAGCCUGGGGCUCAACUCCAGAAUUGCCUUUGAAACGGGAACGCUUGAGUCCGAGAGAGGGUGGCGGAAUUCCUAGUGUAGAGGUGAAAUUCGUAGAUAUUAGGAAGAACACCAGUGGCGAAGGCGGCCACCUGGCUCGGUACUGACGCUCAGGUUCGAAAGCGUGGGGAGCAAACAGG